Molecule: ribosomal RNA, 305 nt
Filed under: uncultured Glomus
Lineage: Eukaryota; Fungi; Glomeromycota; Glomeromycetes; Glomerales; Glomeraceae
Description: SSU rRNA
Rfam family: Eukaryotic small subunit ribosomal RNA
Source: RNAcentral
AGCAGCCGCGGUAAUUCCAGCUCCAAUAGCGUAUAUUAAAGUUGUUGCAGUUAAAAAGCUCGUAGUUGAAUUUCGGGAUCAAUACGUCGGUCGUGCUUCGGUACGUACUGGCGUAAUUGAUUUCUCCCUUCUGACGAACCAUGAUGUCAUUAACUUGGUGUCAUGGGAAAUCAGGACUGUUACUUUGAAAAAUUAGAGUGUUUAAAGCAGGCUCACGCUUGAAUACAUUAGCAUGGAAUAAUGAAAUAGGACGUUCGAUCCUAUUUUGUUGGUUUUUAGGAUCAACGUAAUGAUUAAUAGGGAUA